Molecule: ribosomal RNA, 274 nt
Filed under: uncultured bacterium
Lineage: Bacteria
Description: partial 16S ribosomal RNA
Rfam family: Bacterial small subunit ribosomal RNA
Source: RNAcentral
AUACGGAGGGUGCAAGCGUUACUCGGAAUCACUGGGCGUAAAGCGCGCGCAGGCGGGCUGAUAAGUUGGAUGUGAAAGCCUACGGCUCAACCGUAGAACUGCAUCCAAAACUGUCAGUCCAGAGUGUGGGAGAGGAAGAUGGAAUUAGUUGUGUAGGGGUGAAAUCCGUAGAGAUAACUAGGAAUACCAAAAGCGAAGGCAAUCUUCUGGAACACUACUGACGCUGAGGCGCGAAGGCGUGGGGAGCAAACAGGAUUAGAAACCCCAGUAGUCC